Molecule: non-coding RNA, 567 nt
Organism: Camellia sinensis
Lineage: Eukaryota; Viridiplantae; Streptophyta; Magnoliopsida; Ericales; Theaceae
Source: RefSeq, a predicted model, not a curated record
AAUGCAAGUGUUUCCUUCCUUUGUAGGUUACAUUGGAAAUGUUCCAGUUUUGCUUGCAAAACCACAAACUUUUAUGAAUGCAAGUGGUGAGUCUGUUGGAGCAAUUGUUUCAUAUUACAAGAUUCCACUGAAGCAAGUACUUGUGAUUUUUGACGACUUAGAUUUGCCUUUUGCAAAAUUACGGUUAUUGCCGAAAGGUGGACAUGGAGGACAUAACGGGUAUUUAUCAUGUCAAUGUAUUCUAUUUUCAUCUAAAAUCUAAUACUAAGCAUUUAUUAUGCAUGUUGAGUCUAAGAAGAAUGGACAUUCUAAGAAGGUGGUGUGUCUGUGUCAAACACUCUAGUCAAACACUUCCUAACACUUAUUGAACACACUUUCAAUCGUGUUUAUGUUUUAAAUUUUUUUGGACACCCAAAAUUCAUGUGUCCAUUUGUUAGACAUACAUGAAACGUAUUAUAAAUUUGAACAAAAUAACUUAGAAUAUAAUAGUAAACUAUGAAGCAUGGGUACUCUGAAAAUGUUGCCAUACUCAUACCAAUAAGGCUGCAUGCGUUCCGGGUACUCGAA